This 637-nucleotide long non-coding RNA is filed under the name Pan troglodytes (chimpanzee). Its description in RNAcentral is "long non-coding RNA NONPTRT002723". Lineage: Eukaryota; Metazoa; Chordata; Mammalia; Primates; Hominidae. The record is from RNAcentral.
GCGAGACCAUGAACCCACCAGAAGGAAGAAACUCCAAACACAUCUGAACAUCAGAAGGAACAAACUCCAGAUGCGCCACCUUAAGAGCUGUAACACUCACCGCGAGGGUCCACGGCUUCAUUCUUGAAGUCAAUGAGACCAAGAACCCACCAAUUCCGGACACAUUUUGGCGACCAUGAAGGGACUUUCGCCUAUUGCCAAGCGGUGAGACAAUCGCCGAGCAGUGAGACCAUCGCCUAUUGCCAAGCGGUGAGACCAUUGCCUAUCGCCAAGCAAAUCGAGGCCAUCAAGCUACAGAUGGUCUUACAAAUGGAACCCCAAAUGAGUUCAACUAACAACUUCUACCGAGGACCCCUGGACUGACCAGCUGGCACUUCCCCUGGCCUAGAGAGUUCCCCUCUGAAGGACACUACAACUGCAGAGCCCCUUCUUCGCCCCUAUCCAGCAGGAAGUAGCUAGAGCGGUCAUCGGCCAAAUUCCCAACAGCAGUUGGGGUGUCCUGUUAAUUGAGAGGUGACAGCGUGCUGGCAGUCCUCACAGCCCUCACUCGCUCGCUCACUCUCGGCACCUCCUCUGCCUGGGCUCCCACUUUGGCAGCACUUGAGGAGCCCUUCAGCUCUGUAUCUAGCUACUCUGA